Molecule: ribosomal RNA, 484 nt
Filed under: uncultured bacterium
Lineage: Bacteria
Description: partial 16S ribosomal RNA
Rfam family: Bacterial small subunit ribosomal RNA
Source: RNAcentral
AUUGAACGCUGGCGGCAGGCCUAACACAUGCAAGUCGAGCGGAUGAAGGGAGCUUGCUCCUGGAUUCAGCGGCGGACGGGUGAGUAAUGCCUAGGAAUCUGCCUGGUAGUGGGGGAUAACGUCCGGAAACGGGCGCUAAUACCGCAUACGUCCUGAGGAAGAAAGUGGGGGAUCUUCGGACCUCACGCUAUCAGAUGAGCCUAGGUCGGAUUAGCUAGUUGGUGGGGUAAAGGCCUACCAAGGCGACGAUCCGUAACUGGUCUGAGAGGAUGAUCAGUCACACUGGAACUGAGACACGGUCCAGACUCCUACGGGAGGCAGCAGUGGGGAAUAUUGGACAAUGGGCGAAAGCCUGAUCCAGCCACGCCGCGUGUGUGAAGAAGGUCUUCGGAUUGUAAAGCACUUUAAGUUGGGAGGAAGGGCAGUAAGUUAAUACCUUGCUGUUUUGACGUUACCAACAGAAUAAGCACCGGCUAACUUCGUG